GACGAACGCUGGCGGCGUGCUUAACACAUGCAAGUCGAACGGAAAGGCCCUGCUUUUGUGGGGUGCUCGAGUGGCGAACGGGUGAGUAACACGUGAGUAACCUGCCCUUGACUUUGGGAUAACUUCAGGAAACUGGGGCUAAUACCGGAUAGGAGCUCCUGCUGCAUGGUGGGGGUUGGAAAGUUUCGGCGGUUGGGGAUGGACUCGCGGCUUAUCAGCUUGUUGGUGGGGUAGUGGCUUACCAAGGCUUUGACGGGUAGCCGGCCUGAGAGGGUGACCGGAGAGAGGGGGACUGAGGUGAGGCGAAGUGGCAUGCGGGAGGGAGCAGUGGGGAAUGGGGCACAAUGGGCGGAAGGCUGAAGCAGGAACGCCGCGUGAGUGAUGAGGGCGUUCGGGUUGUAAACAGAGUUCGACGGUGUAGGAGCGGGGGUGACGGUGAUGGGUAAAGAAGCACCGGCUAACUACGUG
This 468-nucleotide ribosomal RNA is filed under the name uncultured bacterium. RNAcentral's name for it is "partial 16S ribosomal RNA". It matches the Rfam family "Bacterial small subunit ribosomal RNA", at positions 28 to 507 of the family's 1533-position model. The record is from RNAcentral.